Molecule: long non-coding RNA, 337 nt
Filed under: Camelus dromedarius (Arabian camel)
Lineage: Eukaryota; Metazoa; Chordata; Mammalia; Artiodactyla; Camelidae
Description: lncRNA (ENSCDRG00005012613.1)
Source: RNAcentral
ACAACAACGCUGUGAGGUUGUCAUCAGAGUCCAGUGUGGUAGCGGAGUGUUACAAGGAGCCCAUGUCUAUGUUCCAGGAAUCGUGUCCACCUCCAAAUGUACCAGCCCUCACCGUUGGGAGGAUGUCUUGGCUAUCACAUUUGUCCCAUCUCAGAAGCGGCAGGAGCGGCGGCCAGAGUCAGGCCAGGAAUUCCCCAGUGACACCGGACCGUCCCCACCUCAAGCCCAGGAGAGCCGGAGAGGACUGGGACCCAGCUCAGGACAGGGCGCGAGGAGAGACGGUCCGCCACCCCGCGGGCCAGCAGGGGUCGGCGGCGCCGAGAGGUGGGCGUUCGGG